Molecule: ribosomal RNA, 253 nt
Filed under: uncultured bacterium
Lineage: Bacteria
Description: partial 16S ribosomal RNA
Rfam family: Bacterial small subunit ribosomal RNA
Source: RNAcentral
UACGUAGGGAGCAAGCGUUGUCCGGAAUCAUUGGGCGUAAAGCGCGCGUAGGUGGCCCCAUAAGUCCGCUGUGAAAGUCAAAGGCUCAACCUUUGAAAGCCGGUGGAUACUGUGGGACUAGAGUACGGAAGAGGCGAGUGGAAUUCCUGGUGUAGCGGUGGAAUGCGCAGAUAUCAGGAGGAACACCAAUAGCGAAGGGCAGCUCGCUGGGACGUUACUGACGCUGAGGCGCGAAGCUAGGGGAGCAAACGGG